UGAGGAAUAUUGGUCAAUGGGCGGAAGUCUGAACCAGCCAUGCCGCGUGAAGGAAUAAGGCCCUAUGGGUCGUAAACUUCUUUUGGCGGGGAGCAAUAAGGUCUACGUGUAGACCGAUGAGAGUACUCGUUGAAUAAGCAUCGGCUAACUCCGUGCCAGCAGCCGCGGUAAUACGGAGGAUGCGAGCGUUAUCCGGAUUUAUUGGGUUUAAAGGGUGCGUAGGCUGUUUGUCAAGUCAGAGGUGAAAGGCCGCAGCUCAACUGUGGAAUUGCCUUUGAUACUGGCAGGCUUGAAUACUGUUGCCGUGGGAGGAA
This 314-nucleotide ribosomal RNA is filed under the name uncultured bacterium. Its description in RNAcentral is "bacterial SSU rRNA". It matches the Rfam family "Bacterial small subunit ribosomal RNA", at positions 355 to 666 of the family's 1533-position model. The record is from RNAcentral.